RNAcentral lists this ribosomal RNA (784 nucleotides) under Azospira sp. NTUIOB TPP8. Its description in RNAcentral is "bacterial SSU rRNA". It matches the Rfam family "Bacterial small subunit ribosomal RNA", at positions 56 to 833 of the family's 1533-position model. The record is from RNAcentral. Lineage: Bacteria; Pseudomonadati; Pseudomonadota; Betaproteobacteria; Rhodocyclales; Rhodocyclaceae.
UGCAAGUCGAACGGCAGCACGGGAGCUUGCUCCUGGUGGCGAGUGGCGAACGGGUGAGUAAUACAUCGGAACGUACCCAGGAGUGGGGGAUAACGUAGCGAAAGUUACGCUAAUACCGCAUAUUCUGUGAGCAGGAAAGCGGGGGAUCGCAAGACCUCGCGCUCUUGGAGCGGCCGAUGUCGGAUUAGCUAGUUGGUGAGGUAAAAGCUCACCAAGGCGACGAUCCGUAGCAGGUCUGAGAGGAUGAUCUGCCACACUGGGACUGAGACACGGCCCAGACUCCUACGGGAGGCAGCAGUGGGGAAUUUUGGACAAUGGGGGCAACCCUGAUCCAGCCAUGCCGCGUGAGUGAAGAAGGCCUUCGGGUUGUAAAGCUCUUUCGGCGGGGAAGAAAUGGCAACGGCUAAUAUCCGUUGUUGAUGACGGUACCCGCAUAAGAAGCACCGGCUAACUACGUGCCAGCAGCCGCGGUAAUACGUAUGGUGCGAGCGUUAAUCGGAAUUACUGGGCGUAAAGCGUGCGCACGCGGUUUCGUAAGACAGACAUGAAAUCCCCGGGCUCAACCUGGGAACUGCGUUUGUGACUGCGAGGCUAGAGUACGGCAGAGGGGGGUAGAAUUCCACGUGUAGCAGUGAAAUGCGUACAGAUGUGGAGGAAUACCGAUGGCGAAGGCAGCCCCCUGGGUUAGUACUGACGCUCAUGCACGAAAGCAUGGGGAGCAAACAGGAUUAGAUACCUGGUAGUCCACGCCCUAAACUAAUGUCAUCUAGGUGUGGGAGGGUGA